This 272-nucleotide ribosomal RNA is filed under the name uncultured bacterium. RNAcentral describes it as "partial 16S ribosomal RNA". It matches the Rfam family "Bacterial small subunit ribosomal RNA", at positions 525 to 796 of the family's 1533-position model. The record is from RNAcentral.
ACGUAGGAGGCGAACGUUAUCCGGAAUUACUGGGCGUAAAGCGCGCGCAGGCGGCUUCGUAAGUCCGACGUGAAAGCUCCCGGCUUAACUGGGAGAGGCCGUUGGAAACUGCGAGGCUUGAGGUUGGGAGAGGGAAGUGGAAUUCCCGGUGUAGUGGUGGAAUGCGUAGAUAUCGGGAGGAACUCCAGUGGCGAAGGCGACUUCCUGGCCUACACCUGACGCUGAGGCGCGAAAGCGUGGGGAGCGAACAGGAUUAGAUACCCUAGUAGUCC